This 700-nucleotide ribosomal RNA is filed under the name uncultured bacterium. Its description in RNAcentral is "bacterial SSU rRNA". It matches the Rfam family "Bacterial small subunit ribosomal RNA", at positions 111 to 798 of the family's 1533-position model. The record is from RNAcentral.
UAACACGUGGGUANCCUGCCCAAGAGACUGGGAUAACACCUGGAAACAGAUGCUAAUACCGGAUAACAACACUAGACGCAUGUCUAGAGUUUGAAAGAUGGUUCUGCUAUCACUCUUGGAUGGACCUGCGGUGCAUUAGCUAGUUGGUAAGGUAACGGCUUACCAAGGCAAUGAUGCAUAGCCGAGUUGAGAGACUGAUCGGCCACAUUGGGACUGAGACACGGCCCAAACUCCUACGGGAGGCAGCAGUAGGGAAUCUUCCACAAUGGACGAAAGUCUGAUGGAGCAACGCCGCGUGAGUGAAGAAGGGUUUCGGCUCGUAAAGCUCUGUUGGUAGUGAAGAAAGAUAGAGGUAGUAACUGGCCUUUAUUUGACGGUAAUUACUUAGAAAGUCACGGCUAACUACGUGCCAGCAGCCGCGGUAAUACGUAGGUGGCAAGCGUUGUCCGGAUUUAUUGGGCGUAAAGCGAGUGCAGGCGGUUCAAUAAGUCUGAUGUGAAAGCCUUCGGCUCAACCGGAGAAUUGCAUCAGAAACUGUUGAACUUGAGUGCAGAAGAGGAGAGUGGAACUCCAUGUGUAGCGGUGGAAUGCGUAGAUAUAUGGAAGAACACCAGUGGCGAAGGCGGCUCUCUGGUCUGCAACUGACGCUGAGGCUCGAAAGCAUGGGUAGCGAACAGGAUUAGAUACCCUGGUAGUCCAU